This is a long non-coding RNA of Oncorhynchus tshawytscha (Chinook salmon), 2458 nucleotides long. NCBI's taxonomy places the organism in Eukaryota, Metazoa, Chordata, Actinopteri, Salmoniformes, Salmonidae. The record is from Ensembl.
GCAGACCUGGCUGACCUGCCAGACCUGGCAGACCUGGCAGACCUGGCCACUGGCAGACCUGGCUGACCUGGCAGACCUGGCCACUGGCCAGCGAUUGUCGUUUUGAAAUGGGAGUCUUGGAUAUGGUGUCAAUGUCGAUGUAAAGUCAUGUUUUACAUUGGUGAAGUCUUGUCUCUCUGUGAAACUUCCAAAUAGCAUUUCCUAAUCAAUGAAUAGAUGGAAACCUUGUGGUAAUAUAGAUACCUAAUUAGUCUGUAAUUGCGGUAUACGUAAUGAUUCUAAUGUUUAAUCAUGUCCUCUCAUUUCCUAAACUAUUUUGGGGGGAAUAUUUCAUGUUAUCAAUAUAAAUCAAUUGAUAUUUCUUAAAGAAUUUGACAUCACUAUGUGUAUUUUACUGUAUGCUUUGAAGUAGCACGACAAUGUGUCAUGAUGAUAUGAGAUGGAACAGGCAGCUAUAGAACAACCUCUUUAUUAUACUGUGUCUCUGUCUGUCUGUCUGUCUGUCUGUCUGUCUGUCUGUCUGUCUGUCUGUCUGUCUGUCUGUCUGUCUGUCUGUCUGUCUGUCUGUCUGUCUGUCUGUCUGUCUGUCUGUCUGUCUGUCUGUCUGUCUGUCUGUCUGUCUGUCUGUCUGUCUGUCUGUCUGUCUGUCUGUCUGUCUGUCUGUCAACAUGUGUACUGACAGUCUUGACUGAUGGCAUUUAUACAGUGUCAGCCUUGCCAAUUUGUCACCCAGAAAUGAACGGAGAUUCAAAAAAGUGAAUAUAAAUGUGAUAUUGUUUAGAUCAAACAUGAUGAGACAAUCUGCUCCAAGGUGCUAUGAAGGAAUGUGUAGCUGUGGAAUCAGAUGGGUGUGGUGUUGAUAUGCGUAAUCAGAUGGGUGUGGUGUUGAUAUGCGUAAUCAGAUGGGUGUGGUGUUGAUAUGCGUAAUCAGAUGGGUGUGGCGUUGAUAUGCGAGGUGUUUGACAUCCUAUUGCCGGAACUCUGGAUUUAAAAAACAAAACAAAAAAAACACUGCUAUUAAUACCUAACAGAAGACCCUUAUGUGGAUGAGAGAAAUAUAGGUCACUGUGCAACCAAUAGAACAGGGUUGAGAGAAUGCAGGAAUUACAGACAGAUCGGAGAAUAAAUCACAAUCGUACACUUGUCAUCCCAAAAUGUAGGUUUCUGUUUCUCCUUAUUGAUCUUCUCAUACAGUGAAAAACACCAAAAUGAUGUUUGAUAAAAAGUACCCAAAUACAUAUUGGUAAUGACUGCAGUCUGCAGAGAAGACACUAUUGUACAGUUACGCAACAUCAGCCGCCAUCUUGUAUUUACUGUGUUACAAAAAGUAGUCCCUUUAGUUUCCAGUGCCUCGGCCUCUGGUCAUUAAAAUAGAUCUUGGCUGUGAUAUAAUUCAUUCAACCUAAUGGUGAUCUGUGACAUUUCCUGUUCCUGUUUGUCCUUCACUUUCUUUUUUCCUGAUGGGGAAAAAAAAGAGUGAGCUGAAUAUAGCCUGAGUUCCAGUCUGUAUGUGCCAUCACGCCAGCUCCUUGUUACUCAGCCUCAAUGCACGCCAAACUGUUUGUGUUGUAUGGAGUUGGCUAGAACACCAACUGAUCUGAGACCAGGCUAUGAUGAAGAUGCAGGUAGGUGAUGAAUAGGAAUGAAAAAAAAACACUUAAGAAAGAAAAUGUGCCUUUUUGAGUGCAGUGUGAAGUGAACAGGAUUGUUGAUGGGUUCCUUCAUGAAGUGUUGUGGAAUAAAAGGAAAUUAUAUUUUAUCAUAUAAAGUCAAAUUAGGAUAUUUAUAUUGAGGGAUUUAAAAUGAGGAGUCCUUCUACCUAGCCUUAUGUUGGCUGAUGGGACUGAGGUGUCCUUCUACCUAGCCUUAUGUUGGCUGAUGGAACUGAGGUGUCCUUCUACCUAGCCUUAUGUUGGCUGAUGGGACUGAGGUGUCCUUCUACCUAGCCUUAUGUUGGCUGAUUGAACCAGGGUUCCUUCUACCUAGCCUUAUGUUGGCUGAUGGGACUGAGGUGUCCUUCUACCUAGCCUUAUGUUGGCUGUUGGGACUGAGGUGUCCUUCUACCUAGCCUUAUGUUGGCUGAUGGGACUGAGGUGUCCUUCUACCUAGCCUUAUGUUGGCUGAUGGGACUGAGGUGUCCUUCUACCUAGCCUUAUGCUGGCUGAUUGAACUGAGGUGACCUUCUACCUAGCCUUAUGUUGGCUGAUGGGACUGAGGUGUCCUUCUACCUAGCCUUAUGUUGGCUGAUGGGACUGAGGUGUCCUUCUACCUAGCCUUAUGUUGGCUGAUUGAACCAGGGUUCCUUCUACCUAGCCUUAUGUUGGCUGAUGGGACUGAGGUGUCCUUCUACCUAGCCUUAUGUUGGCUGAUGGAACUGAGGUGUCCUUCUACCUAGCCUUAUGUUGGCUGUUGGGACUGUGGUGUCCUUCUACCUAGCCUUAUGUUGGCUGAUGGGACU